GGUAAGUGGGAGCGUAGAGGUGGGGGAAUACGUAGGGGGCAAGCGUGAGUCGGAAGGACUGGGCGGAGAGGUGACGGUGGGGAGUGUGUAAGUCAUGGGGGAAAGCCCUGGGCUCAACCGGGGAACUGCGAUGGAAACUGGGCGACUAGAGUGGGGUAGAGGGUAGCGGAAUUCCUGGUGUAGCAGUGAAAUGCGUAGAUAUCAGGAGGAACAUCCAUGGCGAAGGCAGCUACCUGGGCCAACACUGACACUGAGGCACGAAAGCGUGGGGAGCAAACAGGAUUAGAUACCCCAGUAGUC
Molecule: ribosomal RNA, 300 nt
Filed under: uncultured Sporohalobacter sp.
Lineage: Bacteria; Bacillati; Bacillota; Clostridia; Halanaerobiales; Halobacteroidaceae
Description: bacterial SSU rRNA
Rfam family: Bacterial small subunit ribosomal RNA
Source: RNAcentral